RNAcentral lists this ribosomal RNA (443 nucleotides) under uncultured bacterium. RNAcentral's name for it is "partial 16S ribosomal RNA". It matches the Rfam family "Bacterial small subunit ribosomal RNA", at positions 338 to 795 of the family's 1533-position model. The record is from RNAcentral.
CCUACGGGUGGCAGCAGUGGGGAAUAUUGGGCAAUGGGCGCAAGCCUGACCCAGCAACGCCGCGUGAAGGAAGACGGCUUUCGGGGUGUAAACUUCUUUUCUUAGAGACGAAGAAAGUGACGGUACCUCAGGAAUAAGCCACGGCUAACUACGUGCCAGCAGCCGCGGUAAGACGUAGGCGGCAAGCGUUAGCCGGAUUUAUUGGGUGUAAAGGGCGUGUAGGCGGGAUAGGAAGUCAGAUGGGAAAACUCAGGGCUCAACCCUGAGCCUGCAUUUGAAACUGUUGUGCUUGAGUACAGGAGAGGUAAGCGGAAUUCGGAGUGUAGAGGUGAAAUGCGUAGAUAUGAGGAGGAACACCAGUGGCGAAGGCGGCUUUCUGGACUGUAACUGACACUGAGGCGCGAAAGCGUGGGUAGCGAACAGGAUUAGAUACCCGAGUAGUC